CAGAGAUGGGUGAGGGACAGAGAGAAGGUGAAGGACAUCUAUCGUCAGCUGGGACCAGGACAUACACAGUAUUCUAGUGAUCGAUGGAGACAACAGUGGUAAUGGCCUUAACAGCUAAGCAAGGAGGACGAUCAGUGGCUAUCGAUUCUGGCUGCCGGGGGAACCAGCGUAUGUCCAAGUUAAAGGAGGUGAUUGACUCGGCUCUCCACAGAGACAGCAUCCAUGCGCCACUUUUCGAUGACAGGAUGACACAUUUCCGUCCAUUUCGCAGCAUGAUAUUUUUAUCACACUGCUCCGUUUCACAGUGCGAUCCAUUUUUCAUUGCACCAAGGUGAUUGCAGCCAUCAGUCAUGAGUAUCCACUGAGUUUUCAUUAUCUUAUAGCGCUCAGUGCGUUUACAUCUUUUGAGACCACAGAUGCAUUUAACAACACAAGAAUUAAGAGCUGAAUGGGAACACCCAGCACUUCCUGGGGUCAAUCUCCGCUGGGCUCAGACUGUGGCUGUCUGGCCUAGUGUGCAUGUCUAUGUGUGUGUGUGUGUGUGUGAGGUCUUAGACACAAAUAGUGUUAGUGGAUGAGCUACAGAGGUCAUCAAAUGGAGAGAUUAUUACUCCAGACAGUCUGUCCAAAGAAAUCCAGGGAGAGAAGUGAUGUUAUUUGUAGUGUCAGUUCAAAGUCCAACCUAGAGCCAGAUGCAUACAACUCUGUGUGGAAUCACGAAAGACAGAAAUAUGGAUAUACACUCUUUUGCGUAGUUCUGUUUUAUAAACUUCAAUCAUUGUAAAACUUGCCACAUGUGCAAAAACCUCAUUUCCAUUCCCACAGUUAGCCAUAAGUGGUCGAUAAGAAAAUGUAGAGACACAGCCUUAAUCACUCUGUUCCACCCAUCUUUAGACCUAUCAAUGAAAACAACGGCAGAGAAGUACAGUUUCACCGACUGUGACCCAUCGGUGAGGUUCUCCAAGAAGCUGUCAUUAUGUGCAACCCAGUCCUCGCGAUUUCCCUCUCCCGCUUAUAUGUCACACUCAGCUCGCUCUAGAAAAUGUGUAAGUCUGGUCCAGAGGCGUAGGUGGCAAUUGUAUUUUGGGUUGGCCAGUACAAAAGUGGGUGGGCCAUCUUUUCCCAGAAAAAAAGGAUUUAAAAAAGGAGGCUAUAAAAACGUAGAAAAAAGAACAAACAGAAAAACUGAAAAAACAGCAACAACAUUGCUGCAACAUUCUGCACUACAAUGGCAAUCACAACAAAACACUGCCUAUACAACAUGCUCAACCAACAGAGCUCAGUCUAUAAAAGGCUGUACACAACAAUAUAGACAAAAACCUGUCUAUUUUAUCAUAUUCAGGCUAAAAUAUAUUUACACUGCAGUGCACCUGCUCUACAGUGCACGGCACUGUUAAUUAAUCAUUUUAUUGCCAAAGUGGCAACUAAACAUAAACCCAAACAGCAGGGAAGGUGUUAACAUACUGCAUGACAUAAUAUACAUCAGACAGAAAUCGCACAUAUAACAUAUCCCUCAUGCAUUCAUUACAGCCAUUGUUGCUUCAGUACCAUGGUCAGCUCACAUAUAAUAGCAAAUGUGCAAGCAGCUGUUUACACAAAUCAGCAGUAAAAGGAAAUCAAAGAAUGUGAACAUCCAGUCAAGCAUUGCUUGAAUUAAAGAACAACACACUCCUUAAUUUCUAUUAAAUCAAACACAUACAAUGAAAUCUGGUUGAAAUCUAGCUUCUGUGCAAAAAAAUGAGCAACUUUUGAAAAUAAACAAUGUAGCCUAUUAAUAGUAGGCCUAUACACAACACACCAUUACUUAACAUGAAAUGCUUCACAGGCAAAUAUGAAGCAGUGAAAAAUGAGCAAAACAACAGGCCUAGCUUUGUUGUUUUUAUGGCCUACUAAACAAGGCGCAAAUGCCAGGUUUAGCAUUGAAUACAAAGAUGAUCUCAUCAUAGCUCAAAGAGUCACAGGUUGUUUGAAAUGGGUAGUACUCAUGUAUGCUCUGAGGUCUGUUUUAAUCCGACUUAAAGUGUAGAGCCAACAAAAUCACAAUCUGAAUUGUCUCUAAACCAAGCAAAGCUCCCUUUUAGUCCCUCAAUUAGGUCGAUGCAUUCAGAGACUGACAAUGUUGGUCUUCAAACACCCUGUGUGGCAAAAUCGCUCAUCUAAAAUAAUUUCCCAAAUGUGAUAAGUAAAAAUAUGAACUUUUUGUUUGUAUUUGUUGACCACUGCUUUCAGCACACUCAGCAAGUACAACUUCUAAUAUUAUGUUGAGUAACAUCAGUAUUUUGGUCACUGCUCCAGAUUCGGAGCUCCAGCUCAUGUCUAUGGAUCACUCAAGUUCCAGGCAUGGGCGUCCUGGAUGGAGCUCUUUUUGCACUUCCACAAACCUUGCUGCUGCCUGUCAUGAGACUGUGUAUGUUGACUGUGUAUAUUGUUCAGUGUAUCAAAGAAUGUGCUAGCCCAGACACCUUUGAUGCUGCACAAAUGACCAAAUUCAGUCUGUGAAAAUUACAGUGGACAAACAUGGCUUGAGGAAAAGUUUGUUUUAAAAUUACACGCACACCUCCCUUGUUACCUGACAUAAUGGCGGCCCCAUCGAAACUGAAGCCAACGCACAGAGAUGGGUCAAGUUGCAGUUGCAGUUCAAUCACCUGUAAUAUCUUCUCUGAAAAACCACUUGUAUUUGUCACAUGUCACUUGUGUCCAUGAUCCCAAUUGCCCAUUCUUUUAUUUUCCCUGCGUGAACAUAUCCCACACAAACAGCAAGUGAGUUCACGCUUUGAGUCAUCCUUAUAUUUGUCAGCGUUAAAGGCAUAAUAGGCACCUGGUAUUUCACAGAAUUCUGUUUUGAUUUUGCGCAAGAGCAAGGAGGCUGCUGACUCCAGCAGCUCAUUUUGAACAUCUGGGCUCAUCAAAGUUCCGUUUCUGGGCAGCUGCUCAAAAAGAUUUUGGAUAUGUGGAUCAUAUUUGCACAUGAACUUGAACAGUUCUUCAAAGUUUCCUAUAUUGAGAGCAUCUGCAUUUUUCCUGUGUCCACGUAGGGGGAUGUCCUGCUUGGCACAAAACAGUAUAAUAUCCAAAACGACUUUUAAGAUGAUCCCAAUUCCUCUCGAUAAAUGAUUAGUCCAUGGCAUCACAGUUCAUUUGAUUUAACACAUUUCCCUGACCUGCAGUUUGGUUGGCUUUGUAACUUUGAAACUUGUCCAGUGAAACAGAGUGGGGCUUGCUCAUCUGGUGUUUUUCAUAUUCCUGAUGUAAGUGCUUCCAGUCCACAAACCUUGCUCUCACAAAUGGGCCAUCAGCUCCACUGGGGAAAUGUCUGCACAUUUUACAGAAAAAUGUGUCCUUAUUUACACUGUAUUCCCACCAAGAAAACUGUCCAUACCACUUUGAUGAAAAGCACCUUGAUUUUCCAUUCUUGACAGUCCAGGGAAAUACCUUCAAAUUUUGCUGUGAAGGUGGUUCAUCAAUUGCAGAUAAAUCGGCGGGUAAACCCGCAUCAGGUUCACUGGGAUAGAGCACUGGCACCGGGGAGCAAGAGGCCAGACUAACAUUCUUGUGGGCUAAUGAGUCUGAAGAACUGGGUUGGGUGGACUCAGUAAUUGGAGGCAGUGGCGUGUCUUCUUCCUCAACUCUUGCAUUUUUUAAAUCACAAAAAAAAAAAUUUGUAACAAAAUGUAUUUUGAUCAAACUUGGCUGGGUGGGCCAGUGAGAAAUGUGGGUGGGCCAGUGCCGCCCAGGCCCAUUACUGGCUGCGUCCCUGGUCUGGUCUAAGCAUGCAUGAAGUGUUCACCAUACAUUCUGCUUUUAUUAAGUUUAUGUGUGGGGAAGUAUGCAUGUUUUCUUUGCCUGUACACAUCGUUUACACAGUACAUUUGGCCCCUGUAAGUACAGUAAUGAUGUUUUGGGAGCCUGGAUUUCCUUUCCAUUGAUUAUUUCAUCAGAACAUAUUCAGAGCAGGUUGUCUUACUUCAACAAAUGGUUCAGCAUAUGGUUUUAUGUGCCUUCACAUCAUUCCUAAAUACUUAAACGCCUUCUUGAAGGCUUCUUCUAGUUGCUUGUCAUCUCUGCAGUCAGCUGCUGUUUUUCACUACCUGUUAAAAACACUUAGAGGUGUCUGUCACUGUCAGAAUAUCUAAGGCAGGAAGUACUCGUAAGAGGAUAUUUUGGCUGAUUUCUUAACCAUCCCUCCAGUACAGAGACAUAAAGCACAUAUGCACAUUAUUAUUUUCCAAUUACGCAAUCAGACUGUCAGUAAAACGCAGAGCAGUGUCUUUUAUCCCUCAUUUUUAAAGGUGUUGCUCCCUCUCCACAGAUAAAGAAGGAGUAGUUGAUGCAGUAUAUACGCUGGUUUCAUCCUGCCUGUACAGUCGAGAGAGAGUGUAGCCUUUGAUUCAGUCUGAGCUCAGGAUCUUCAUCAAUUACAGCUCCUUGAUUAGUGCGGAGUGCACACAUGCUCUGCUCUUUGAAAGCAUAAUGAUGCAGUCUCCCCUUCCCCACCCAUACUUUACACACUAAUGGACUGAGCCACAAGCAAUUUCACAGCAUCUUUAUGUACGAUAAUUGGGGGAAAUUGUAAUGUACUGUACUGUACUGCACCAUACCGUACUGUAAUGUAUUGUACUGUACUGCACCAUACCGUACUGUAAUGUACUGUACUGUACAUGUGGCAGACAUGAGGGGAGAAAAUGAGGGCAAUGAUGUGUGUAAUGCAAUCAGCCACUUUGCAUAAGUUCCAGUUGAUACAGGCCUUUUAGAAUACUGAAAAUAAAAUAUGUCACAUUAUAGUUAAAAUACAGUCUGUUUGGCAAAAUA
RNA transcript from Thunnus maccoyii (southern bluefin tuna), 4809 nucleotides. RefSeq lists it as uncharacterized. The transcript is spliced from 2 exons. The record is from RefSeq and is a predicted model, not a curated record. Lineage: Eukaryota; Metazoa; Chordata; Actinopteri; Scombriformes; Scombridae.